RNAcentral lists this ribosomal RNA (551 nucleotides) under uncultured bacterium. RNAcentral describes it as "partial 16S ribosomal RNA". It matches the Rfam family "Bacterial small subunit ribosomal RNA", at positions 355 to 895 of the family's 1533-position model. The record is from RNAcentral.
UGGGGAAUUUUGGACAAUGGGCGAAAGCCUGAUCCAGCAAUGCCGCGUGUGUGAAGAAGGCCUUCGGGUUGUAAAGCACUUUUGUCCGGAAAGAAAUCCUUGGCUCUAAUACAGUCGGGGGGAUGACGGUACCGGAAGAAUAAGCACCGGCUAACUACGUGCCAGCAGCCGCGGUAAUACGUAGGGUGCAAGCGUUAAUCGGAAUUACUGGGCGUAAAGCGUGCGCAGGCGGUUUGCUAAGACCGAUGUGAAAUCCCCGGGCUCAACCUGGGAACUGCAUUGGUGACUGGCAGGCUAGAGUAUGGCAGAGGGGGGUAGAAUUCCACGUGUAGCAGUGAAAUGCGUAGAGAUGUGGAGGAAUACCGAUGGCGAAGGCAGCCCCCCUGGGCCAAUACUGACGCUCAUGCACGAAAGGCGUGGGGGAGCAAACAGGAUUAGAUACCCUGGUAGUCCCACGCCCUAAACGAUGUCAACUAGUUGUUGGGGAUUCAUUUCCUAGUAACGUAGCUAACGCGUGAAGUUGACCGCCUGGGGAGUACGGUCGCAAGAUU